UCUGUUUUGUUCAAGCUCUUUCUAAAAUUGGAGAAACUAGUAUCAUGUAAUAUGGCCAGCAGAGUAAACACAAGAAUAAAAAAACUACUAAACAACUGUACCAGCUAGAAGAAAAACUGGGAUGAACCUUUUUUAAAUCCCCAGUCCUUUGUUCUAAGAUUUUUGGUGCAGUGAUA
Fukomys damarensis (Damara mole-rat) is the source of this 176-nucleotide non-coding RNA. The record is from Rfam. NCBI's taxonomy places the organism in Eukaryota, Metazoa, Chordata, Mammalia, Rodentia, Bathyergidae.